RNAcentral lists this ribosomal RNA (502 nucleotides) under uncultured bacterium. RNAcentral's name for it is "partial 16S ribosomal RNA". It matches the Rfam family "Bacterial small subunit ribosomal RNA", at positions 28 to 507 of the family's 1533-position model. The record is from RNAcentral.
GACGAACGCUGGCGGCGUGCCUAAUACAUGCAAGUCGAACGAACCGCGACUAAGUGCUUGCACUCAGUCAAGGUGAGUGGCGAACGGGUGAGUAACACGUGGGUAACCUACCUCAUAGUGGGGGAUAACAGUCGGAAACGACUGCUAAUACCGCAUAGGACAUAGGAUCACAUGAUCCAGUGAGGAAAGGUGGCGCAAGCUAUCGCUAAGAGAUGGACCCGCGGUGCAUUAGCUAGUUGGUAGGGUAAAGGCCUACCAAGGCGAUGAUGCAUAGCCGACCUGAGAGGGUGAUCGGCCACAUUGGGACUGAGACACGGCCCAAACUCCUACGGGAGGCAGCAGUAGGGAAUCUUCCGCAAUGGACGCAAGUCUGACGGAGCAACGCCGCGUGAGUGAAGAGGGUCUUCGGAUCGUAAAGCUCUGUUGUUAGAGAAGAACAGCGCAUAGAGUAACUGCUAUGCGUGUGACGGUAUCUAACCAGAAAGCCACGGCUAACUACGUG